CGCAUGAGAUAGCCGACAAAGAUUUAUCGGUAUGGGAUGGGCCCGCGUUUGAUUAGCUAGUUGGUGAGGUAACGGCUCACCAAGGCGACGAUCAAUAGCCGACCUGAGAGGGUGAUCGGCCACACUGGAACUGAGACACGGUCCAGACUCCUACGGGAGGCAGCAGUGGGGAAUAUUGGGCAAUGGGCGCAAGCCUGACCCAGCAACGCCGCGUGAGGGAAGAAGGUUUUCGGAUUGUAAACCUCUGUCCUUGGGGACGAAAAAAAUGACGGUACCCGAGGAGGAAGCUCCGGCUAACUACGUGCCAGCAGCCGCGGUAAUACGUAGGGAGCAAGCGUUGUCCGGAAUUACUGGGCGUAAAGGGUGCGUAGGCGGUUUGGAAAGUCAGAUGUGAAAUCCCCGGGCUUAACUCGGGUGGUGCAUUUGAAACUUCCAGACUUGAGUGCAGGAGAGGAAAGCGGAAUUCCUAGUGUAGCGGUGAAAUGCGUAGAUAUUAGGAGGAAUACCAGUGGCGAAGGCGACUUUCUGGACUUAUACUGACGCUGAGGAACGAAAGCGUGGGGAGCAAACAGGAUUAGAUACCCUGGUAGUCCACGCCGUAAACGAUGAGUGCUAGGUGUUGGGGGUCAAACCUCGGUGCCGCAGCUAACGC
This 652-nucleotide ribosomal RNA is filed under the name uncultured bacterium. RNAcentral describes it as "bacterial SSU rRNA". It matches the Rfam family "Bacterial small subunit ribosomal RNA", at positions 187 to 858 of the family's 1533-position model. The record is from RNAcentral.